Molecule: ribosomal RNA, 497 nt
Filed under: uncultured bacterium
Lineage: Bacteria
Description: partial 16S ribosomal RNA
Rfam family: Bacterial small subunit ribosomal RNA
Source: RNAcentral
GAUGAACGCUGGCGGCGUGCCUAACACAUGCAAGUCGAGCGAACAGACGAUGAGCUUGCUCCUUUCACGAUAGGCGAAGACGGGUGUGUCACACGUGUAUCACCCCCUUAUCAGUCUGGGAUAACUACGGGACAGCGGAUCUAACCCCGGAGAAGAUCCUGCACCGCAUGGUUCAAUAGAAAAUGUCGGUUUUUGUGUCAGUUCUCGAUGCAUCUGCGCUGCUUUAGAUAGUUGGUACGUUAACGGCUUACCAAGGCAACGAGGCGUAGGCGAGCGGACGGGGUGAUCGGCGACACGGGAAGUGAGACACGGACAAGAGUCCUACGAGAGGCAGCAGUAGCGAAUCUGACGCAAUGGGCGAGAGCCUGACGGAACAACGCCGCGUGAGUGAUGAAGAUCUUCGGAGCGUAAAACUCUGUUAUUAGGGAAGAACAGAUGUGGAAGUAGCUAUGCAGGUCUUGACGGUAACUAAUCAGAAAGCCACGGCUAACUACGUG